RNAcentral lists this ribosomal RNA (468 nucleotides) under uncultured bacterium. RNAcentral's name for it is "partial 16S ribosomal RNA". It matches the Rfam family "Bacterial small subunit ribosomal RNA", at positions 28 to 507 of the family's 1533-position model. The record is from RNAcentral.
GAUGAACGCUGGCGGCGUGCUUAACACAUGCAAGUCGAACGGAAAGGCCCUGCUUUUGUGGUGUGCUCGAGUGGCGAACGGGUGAGUAACACGUGAGUAACCUGCCCUUGACUUUCGUGUAACUUCAGGAAAGUGGGGCUAAUACCGCAUCGGAUCUUCUGCUGCAUGGUGGGGGUUGGAAAGUUUCCGCUGUUGGGGAUGGACUCGCGGCUUAUCAGAUUGUUGGUGGGGUAGUGGCUUACCAAGGCUAUGACCGGUAGCCGGCCUGAGAGGGUGGACGGCCACAUUACGACUGAGAUACGGCCCAGACUCGAACGGGAGGCAACGGUGGGGAAUAGUGUACAAUGGGAGGGAGCCUGAUGCAACGACGCCGCGUGCGGGAAGACGGCCUGCGGGUUGUAAACCGCUUUCGCCUGAGACGAAGCGUGAGUGACGGUAAUGGGUAAAGAAGCACCGGCUAACUACGUG